Molecule: RNA transcript, 6670 nt
Organism: Gadus morhua (Atlantic cod)
Lineage: Eukaryota; Metazoa; Chordata; Actinopteri; Gadiformes; Gadidae
Gene name: LIM domain and actin-binding protein 1
Exons: 9
Source: RefSeq, a predicted model, not a curated record
CAACUGAACCUUUGAAAUCCCUCCAAUUAAAACGCUGCAGACUGCACUCUGACCGGCAGUUCAAGGCCUCCAAAAGGAUACUUUUGUUUUGCCAUGCUUUUCACUAUGCUUUUCCGCCAUAGUGCCAUAGAUCAUCUUAAUACGGUCAGAGGCGUAAUAAGGAAGGACGGAAGGACUUUGCUCCGAAACCAUGGUCCAAGGUCUUGUGAUGUUUUAUGUCAGAACCAGACAGCCAUCGCCCUGAUCACCGGAGCUCCUUCUCAACUAGAAGCCCUUGAGCUCCAAACAGACAGCCAUGGAGUUGAAGAGCUGCCUGCGACGCACGCAAUCCCUGAAGAGCGUCGCGGCUCGGUCUGACAACAGACCCAUCUGGGCGGAGGGGGCGCGCAGAGACCGGAUGGCGUCCGUGUCCCAGCUGGUUGCUAGGUACCAGAACUCAGUGGAGGUUAGCCCGACCAUUGAAGUCACUCAAGUGAAUAAUCCCCAAACCAUACUAAAGCAAGUCCCCCAAGAGACAAAAUCACCAAAAUCACCAAAAACAACAGCUUCUGCUGAGGUGAGUUCAGGGCAUGAAAGCAAGGCGGAGGCGCUGCCAAGGAAAGCUGGUGCCAGAGAAUGGUCUCUCCCUCACACCAAGACCAACCUGGCUCGCAGUAGGUCCAUGGGCAGCCUCAAAAAUUGUUUCGGCAGCGUCAGCGACCUAAAGAGUCUGUUUGAGUCAAAGAACGACAUGCAGCCAAAGAUCCUGCAUGAGAGGAGCAUGAGAGCGGAAGGCCCGACUCUUCCUAUCAGAGCCAAGACGACCGACCCCACACCAGUGGUGAACGGACACGCGGGAGAGAGACAGCCCGCACAGAAGAAGAAGGCUGAUUCAGCUGAUUCUGAUGGACAUGCUAAUGUUGAUGCUAAGGCUAAUGAUGUCAAGGCUAAUGCUCACACAAAAGAACAGGAGUUGAUUAAGAAGCAACAAAGUAACAACAAAGAACGAGGAAAAUUGAUUGGUGGCAUUGACCUCGAAAGAGUUGGUUCAUCCCAUUACGAUGAUAAGAAGAGGUCCUUUAGCCCGACCAGGGAGACGCUACCCAUUUCUGUGAAGGCCAUAUCUGCUCUUUACCUGUCCCAGACGAGAGCUACCGAACAACGAAACAACAAUACACAACUUGCAAAAGAUAAGUCGGAAAGUGCAAAGCGAACUAAACCAAUUAAGUCAAGAUGGCCGAGGACUGUCAAAGAGCAAAAGACACUCUGGUGCCACCACGUUUGGAUGGCCUUGGCCCAAGAGGGGGUGGAGGAGAUAUCUCUCGGGGGCACGUCCAAACACCUAACAUGCCAUCGCAUCCCGCCAAAGUAAUGUUGCAACAGAAGCGGCAGAAAUGUGAGCUGAGGAGACUUCUCAAACACACUCACCCAGAGCUGAAGACUCUGGACGGGGUGAUGGACGAGGAACUGGCUGAGUUUCUCGAUUUAGAGACAGCUGGUGAAAAGGGAUAUGAGGGAGAGGUCAUCUCUAGAAGGCAGAUGUUUGAAAACUGUGCAGUGAGCAACCCCCAGGGCAACAACGCCCCCAAUCAGCCUGCAGAAGAGGAACCAGCUGAAAGAGGAGAGGUCAUGAGAACAACUGCCCUGUUUGAUCGGCCAAGGUUGCAGCUUCAAGAAGAUGGCACCAAGGUCACAAUGGCGGUCCCUGAAGGACCCAGAGGUCCUGAUCUCCAAUCAGAGGGCGAGGAACAGAUGGUUAAAGUAGAUGUUCAGUCCACCAGGAGGAUGUUUGAGAGGCAGUCAGUGGAGACCUCAUGGUCAAGUCCAAAAAAGUUCAAAGGUAAAUGGAAGGACACAACUGGAAUGGUGCAAGACCAGAAGUUAAAGAAUAGCACACAAGAGAAUAAAGGCAAAAUCCAAAGCAGUGAAUUCUCAGAAAAACUGAAUCAUGACAAAGGAAUGCAAGCCCCUUAUGAGAAACAGUGCACAAGCCUCAAUACUUCACAAUGUCUGCCAACUUUUAUGGAAGUCCAUACAAGUGAAAGUCUUUUUCAAAACAACCCUUUUAUAACAACAAACAUGGAGCGAGAACCAUACCAGAAGGCCAACCCUCAAAACAACACCUCACUCAACGGUGACCUAACUGAAGCCAGCAGAGCAACUGAGAACUCACCUAGAGCCAAUGUUAAAAACAGAGCCCAUCUCUUUGAUUCAAUGCCAUUUGAUAAGAUCCAGCACCAAAACAAGGAAGAAAUUGAAACAACAGUGGAGAGAAUUAAUGAAACACUAAAUUCCCUCAAUCAUUUUAGAGCAAUACAUUCACAUGGGUACAUCAUUGAAGUGAACGAGACUAUGCUAGCUAAAAAGGCUAAAUAUCUUCUCUCCCCAACCGGGCCAAAGGUGACCUCAGAUGAUUUGGCCGAAGGUGGUGCUCAGAACUUCAUUGUGCAGCUGCUGCCGAGGGCAAAGCUGAAGACUCAAGUUAUGUAUCUGAAGGAAGAUAAACAAGGAAAUGUUGGGUCGACCGUUGUGGAUUCCCCUGUCUACCAGCAUCAGUUCAACCCCAAUCAAGAUGUUGAGUUGAGAACAGUCAAUGUGGUACAGCUUAUAGAGGAUAUGCUUAUCCAGGACAACUCUUUCAGUAAGGGAGUGAUUAUUCAAGAGGAUGAGAAUGGAUAUUCUGACGUCACUGUCUAUUCCCUCAAUAAUUAUGCAGAUGGAGAUGUGAAAAGUUAUUGCCCUCCACAAGGCCAUUCUACAAUGACAAACAGAGUAGAACCUACAAUGGUUGAGGAUUUAAAAAACAUCCACUAUAUUAUCAAAGGAGAUGUGAAAUCAACCAUAAGCUGUCUCUUGGCAUCAAAUGAGGAUCGAGUUGUCACAGAAUCAUUCAGACCUGAUGUGCCGAUGAAAGGAAACGUGAUACUAUUUAGGAACUGCAUUGAGAAGGGUGAUUACGAGUAUUUGAAAACACUUAAGGCAGAGCCCCGAGAGCAAGAACUAUCUGGAGUCUACAUGGAGACUGAUGGUAAAAUAGGAGAGCAUCAAUGGGAUGUAGGGGGUAUAGAGCAGGCUACAGUAGAAAAAAAAGCCCAGCCAAACAGGUUGUUUGCAAAUGAAAGCUGUGUCCAAUUGAAACAACUGACCCGUGAUGAUGCUGACUACUCAAACAUGUGUAAAGACAUCAUUGAUGAAGGAAGGACAUCUUUUGACAUAUGUGACAAUGGGACCACCUCAGGUCAGGUGCCAAACACCUUGAGUGAGUCUAGCCCUCAAGAGCAACCGAAGAUAUGUGAGUUCAGGACAGCACCAAGAGGGUUAACUCUGUGUGCCAAUGCACAGAGGGAGGACGUGAUCCUACAAGCUGAGUUAAUUGAGGAUGUAGAUUACGAAGAUGAAAUAUCCAUCCUUCAAGCUGCAAUCCAUAGUCUUCGACAAGUUACACUUGACGCUAAGGCCCUUCAUCGUGCAACACUAGAGAAAGAAGCGUUAAAACAAGAAAACCCAAAGCCACAGAUAACUUAUAGAGUACAAUCUGAUCUUAAGACUGUAGAAAUACAACCAGGAAUCUCUCAAAAGAAUAUGCAAGAUGAUAAGAUGUCCUGUGAAAGAGAACCAUCUACAUCCAAAUCCAGCAUUGCCACAAAACUUGACUCCGAAGGAGAAACCAAACAUAUGAGGCCUGCAGACUUUCAGUCCAAAGAAAAGCAUUCUACUGAUACUGGAGCUCUCCAGAUAGAUGACUUAGAAGCUGUGACUAUGUCAGCACCGAGUUCCGCAACAAAAAGUCAGGAAGAAGAAAGUGAAAUGGUUGGUGGUGUUCAAGCAGCCUUAGAUUCCUUAGCAAGGUCAAGUGUUAAUGUCAGCAGAGGUGAUUUCAGAGCAGCCAUGAUAUACAAAACAUCAAGCAAAUCAAAAAAGAAACGAAUGAAAAAUGUGGAAGAUGCAUCUUCUAAGAUGGCCACAGAAAUACAAUUCAGCUCAACAGAAUCGAAACCAGAACCAUGUGACACAUUUAGUCCAGUAGCAGUGAUCAAACUGGCCACUGAAGACGUGGGUGGACUAUAUACUAAAUUAGCCUGCCCAGAUAAAACUGCCAAAGACCCAGAACAUAGCACCUCAAAAAACAAUAAGGUUUGUCCUAAACCAGCCAUUCCACCUAAACCUGAGCAUUUAUGGUUGAAAGGGGAUGAUAGGGAUGAUAUAGAAAACAGUACUGUGGUAGCUGAGAUGAAAAUACAUUGUAGGGAAGAGCAAUGUCUCGGGGUAUCUAUACCAAGUAGAGAUGUGCCCGGGAGGGGUUUGUCUGGGAAAGCCAAAGAUUUAAUUUCAAGUGCUUCUGAUUCUGAAAAACCUGAAGUAUCUGAGAAAGUUGUUGAAGUUAGUAUAGGUCAGAAAUUGCAAACCAAAAAACCAGUUGAAAUUACUGAUGGGGAAGUAGAUGAGGCGAAAAUUGAUUUCCAAAAGUCUCUUAAGAAAUUCGACCACGCAAUUAAGGUUUCCUUGAAAACUGCCCCUACCAAGCCAAAGAGAUUGAAAGCAAACCAAAACAAAGGCACAACAUUGCAACAGACAUCUAGUGAUAAUGUAACGCCCAAGCAACAACUUACACAUCCGUCAUGCAGUAAGUCAAAUAACCAAGUUGUGAUGCGGAAAAAGAAAGUGAAAAUGGAGACAGAAGAGGCAAGGCGCCUGAGGCUGUCCGUUCACAUGGAUGAGAUUGUCAGAGGAAACAUCACUGCAGCCACGGAGAUAUUUGAUCAUAUGCGAAAACAAGAAGAACUGCAGGAAAUGCUAAAUACGGUAGAAGAAAUGGAGCACGACACUAGCAAUGUGGACGUUAGGACCCUCAGGGGGAUAUUUGAGAAGGUGCCAGCCUGGGGAGAAGGAGCUCAACACAAGAAGGAAAAGCCAGCAAAGGUAGAACAGCCAGUGGAGUGGUCAUUAUCAAUUAAGCCUGAUGCUGAAAGCAUGUCACAAAGGGCCCAUGUUUUUGGAGAUCUGGAAAGAGCAAGUGAGGAGGUCAUGAAUCUGAAGGAACAGACCUUGGCCCGUCUUCUAGACAUUGAGGAUGCCAUAAAGAAAGCUCUGUAUUCUGUUUCAACUUUGAAAUCAGACUCUGACAUUGCAGGUUUAUCAGGCCUGUUCAAAGAGUCUUUGAGGAAAGUGCAUGGUUCUACAAAACUGGCAACAUAAGGAAAUUAGCAGCAGACAUAGUCUGAGGAGAACAGAGAGCUAAUCCUCAAUUUUCACCUGCUUUCGUCUCUAUUGAGGCUGCCAUGAGAAAAAAUGAUGAGCCACGAAUGCAAUCAAUGGUGACCACGAAGUACCCCACCGGUCAACCCAGCCCGAAAGCCGAGGAGAAAUCCGGAAAAACACAAGCCCAACUCAUUACAAAACAGGGUUAACCUUAGAGUAAGCAAUCGGGCAUCUUAUUUUUCGGAUAACAAUCCAUCAAAUAGCCCCUUUGCACCACAACAUAAGAUCAGCGUGAUUGACCACAUAUCCCGAAAUCCGGAUUUGCAUCAACAGUAGACCUUGUUUUUUAAAGAUGAUAAACGUAUAAAAUUAACAAAUAAUGUGUCAGGUCACCAGAUAUCCAAAAUGCUUUAUUCCCAUUGGAGGUUAAAUUGAUCUUAAAGACUAGAAAAACAUAGUAUGUAUCUAUUCCCAAAUCAAUAAAAGACUAUCAACAUAUUUUCUUUCCCUCAGUCAUACAGUAGGUUGUGUUGAUUUCCUUUAGGAAUUCAUAAGUUUGUUUCUUUAUUGAUUGACAUGUUCAUUUGUUUAAUUUCAAAGAUAGAUGAACUUGUUUUUGGAAUUUAUGUUUUUGGACCAGAUUCGAAAUGAAAGUGGUUUUACUCUUUAUUGUUGUUAGAUGGGUCAUAGGUAAUCUUUUUCAUAUCACGCAUGCUUUUUUUAUCCCUCAACAGUUUCAACCAUCUAGUCAAGAAAUGUGUUCAGCUUGCUUGAAACCAGUUUAUCCAAUGGAGAAAAUUGUGGCAGACAUACACAUUUUUCACAAAAUGUGUUUCUGUUGUAAGCAUUGCAAGAAGACACUAAGCAUCCAAAGUUACACCCCACUGCAUGGCAGCUACUACUGCAUAUUUCACUACCAGCAGUUGUUUAAAAGAAAAGGAAAUUACGACGAGGGCUUCGGUCACACUCAACACAAGACCCAAUGGCUUCUGAAGACUGCUGUCGAUGAUUCUGAGGCGUAACACGUGAUUUAAAAGUUGUGUCACAGUAAUAAUGAUCUAAACUGUGAGUCAACGCAUCAAACAAAUUGUACUUUAUUGUAGGGCUGUGGGAUACAAGACAUUUAUUUUUCAUUUUAAAAAGGCUAACAUGAUCGUUACCAUGAUAACAUGGAUUGAUUCAACUGUUGGAGCCUACUGUAAAGAUCACUACAGUUGAUAAGGUUUUGGUCGACUGGUCAACUCCCUUGCAGAAACAUGUCAAUGAUUUUACUUCAGUGUGUACAUUCGUUUUGAUGGCUGCGUUUGUUGUAUGAAUGUUUAAAUGUGAUAAUGUGCAAUGUUUCUUCUCAAACUGUGCCUAUAUGAAACCAUCCAGAGAAGAACCAGUUUAUUCAAUCCUAGCAACUAUAUAUUUGUAAAGUAUGUCUAAAUAAUCUUGCAGAUUUAAGUUUUCAUAUUCAAUAAAAUCAUUAACUCUUGAGUGACUUCAA